UACGGAAGGCAGCAGUGGGGAAUAUUGCACAAUGGGCGCAAGCCUGAUGCAGCCAUGCCGCGUGUAUGAAGAAGGCCUUCGGGUUGUAAAGUACUUUCAGCGGGGAGGAAGGCGAUGCGGUUAAUAACCGCGUCGAUUGACGUUACCCGCAGAAGAAGCACCGGCUAACUCCGUGCCAGCAGCCGCGGUAAUACGGAGGGUGCAAGCGUUAAUCGGAAUUACUGGGCGUAAAGCGCACGCAGGCGGUCUGUUAAGUCAGAUGUGAAAUCCCCGGGCUUAACCUGGGAACUGCAUUUGAACUGGCAGGCUUGAGUCUUGUAGAGGGGGUAGAAUUCCAGGUGUAGCGGUGAAAUGCGUAGAGAUCUGGAGGAAUACCGGUGGCGAAGGCGGCCCCUGGGACAAAGCUGACGCUCAGGUGCGAAAGCGUGGGGAGCGAAACAGGAUUAGGAUACC
This 453-nucleotide ribosomal RNA is filed under the name uncultured bacterium. RNAcentral's name for it is "bacterial SSU rRNA". It matches the Rfam family "Bacterial small subunit ribosomal RNA", at positions 340 to 786 of the family's 1533-position model. The record is from RNAcentral.